Astatotilapia calliptera (eastern happy) is the source of this 1083-nucleotide long non-coding RNA. The record is from Ensembl. NCBI's taxonomy places the organism in Eukaryota, Metazoa, Chordata, Actinopteri, Cichliformes, Cichlidae.
GGCAUGUAAUCUGUAAUCUGUAAUCUGUAGUGGAAUACAACUGUGUACAUGUUACAGCCAAUAAACCAGAAGGAUGCACACGCACAUGCAAACGGGGUGAUCUGAGUCCCUGAUAUUGGCUUCAGCCUAUUAGUAUUAUUAAUAUUCUACUUUUCAUUUUUAAAUCGGUAUCUAAGGAAUUCAAAUUUCACCCACACAUUUCAUAGUAAAACACAGUGAAAAUAAAUGAGUUACAACAUCUGUUGGACUCCAGUGACAGGCAGGUACUGACAGAAGCAACAACUCAGGUGUGAGAGGAAUUCGAUGAGGUAUUUCAGUUGGCCUCUUUUUCUCAAGUACUGGAUUUCUAACAUAGCACACUGUGGAAACAGACCUGAAGCAUGUUAGAACAAUGUCCAAUCUCUUUUUUUUUGUUUUUUUUUUUGGCCUGUCCCGUUUGGCUCUUUUGCCAUCAGAAUUGUUGUCUAAAGGCAAAGAAAGAUGCCCAACGGAUUUACUUUACCAAACUGACCAUCCCAGCCUUGCCAUAAUGGUCCAUUUGAUUCACCUUUUAUUGUUUAUUUUAUUUUCACUUACUGAAUACGGGACAGACUUGACUGGGGGAAAGAAGGGGAGAAAGAAAGAGGGAAAGAGAAACAGCUGAGAAGAGGGACGGGGGAGAAGGGCAAAAGACAAAAACCAACAGAAUGAGCAGAAAAAAAAAUGCAUCUAUCAAUCACCUGGAUCACCUGCUGAGAAAGAAAAAAGAAAACAAGCAGAAGAGAACAAGAGUAAUAGAAUAAACAACAUCACAAUGAUAUAUGGGAAUAUGACAGUAAAUACUAAAUAUUAAACAUUAUUGUGCAGCACAUAAGAUCAACAGAACACAGUGUGCUUUGAGGUAGGAGCCAAAAAGGGUGUAGUUUGUGGGUGUGAUCACCCGUGUGUACACCUGUGAGCAUGGACGCGCUUGUUUUUAAAAGGUUCCUUCAUGUAAUGAUCUGCUAGAGGGUGUGGGGGGGCACAGCCCCGUCCUCCAGGGCAUGAAGCAGGUAUGGAUGAGAUCAAAACUCCAGACAUCCAGAGGCCCCCAGAACACAAGAG